GUGCGGAAGAUGUUGACUGAGAUCUGAAGAAUAUAAAGGAGGAGGAAGAAAAAUGGAUCCGUGAGGAAUAAAAAACUAACCUUCAGGCAUCUGCAGGAAAUACAGUCGACCCACGAGGAAGAGCUGGAGAGAUGAAACAGCAGAAGUACGAGGACUCAGAAAGGACAACAAUGGCAACAUUUUUCAGAGAUGUGUGGGUGAAUUCUCGAACUACGGAGGAAGACGACGAGGAUCUUGACGAAAAUGAGGAUGAGGAGCAAAUUCGCAAAGAACUGGAGGAAGAGGGAAGACACGUGGCUCGUCCAGGAGAGACACACUUGAAGACAGAGACACUGGGGUUCUUGAGGACAGAGAUGAUGAUGUUCCUGAGGACAGACACUGGGGUUCUUCAGGAUAAAGACAAUCUGGUCCCUGAGGACUGAGACACUGAACAUCAUCAGGACCGAGACAAUGGGGUCCCUGAGGACUGAGACACUGGUGAUCUUGAGGACAGAGCCUGAGAUUCCUGAGGACAGACACUGUGGUUCUUCAGGACUGAGACAUUCUGGUCCCUGAGGACCGAGACACUGAAGAUCAUCAGGACAAAGAUAUUCUGGUCCCUGAGGACAGAGACACUGAACAUCAUCAGGACAAAAACAUUCUGGUCCCUGAGGACUGAGACACCAAAGAUCAUCAGGACAAAGACAAAACCGGUCCCUUAGGACUGAGACACUGAACAUCAUCAGGACAGAGACAAUGGGGUCUCUUCUGAGACACCGAAGAUCAUCAGGACAAAGACAUUCUGGUUCCUGAGGACAUACACACUGGUGAUCUUGAGGACAGAGACACUGGUGAUCUUGAGGACAGAGACACUGGUGAUCUUGAGGACAGAGACACUGAACAUCAUCAGGACAGAGACAAUGAGGUCUCUUCUGAGACACCGAAGAUCAUCAGGACAAAGACAUUCUGGUCCCUGAGGACUGAGACACUGGUGAUCUUGAGGACAGAGACACUGGUGAUCUUGUGGACAGAGACACUGGUGAUCUUGAGGACAGAGACACUGGUGAUCUUGAGGACAUACACACUGUGAUCUUGAGGACAGAG
Austrofundulus limnaeus is the source of this 1083-nucleotide long non-coding RNA. RefSeq lists it as uncharacterized. The record is from RefSeq and is a predicted model, not a curated record. The transcript has 4 exons. Lineage: Eukaryota; Metazoa; Chordata; Actinopteri; Cyprinodontiformes; Rivulidae.